UCCCUGUUAGCUCAGUCGGUAGAGCGUUCGGCUUUUACAGAACUAACUAGGGGAAGUUGACCGAAAUGUCAGGGGUUCGAGCCCCCUAUGGGGAG
This is a transfer RNA of 95 nucleotides. It matches the Rfam family "tRNA". From Rfam's summary of the family: Transfer RNA (tRNA) molecules are approximately 80 nucleotides in length. Their secondary structure includes four short double-helical elements and three loops (D, anti-codon, and T loops). Further hydrogen bonds mediate the characteristic L-shaped molecular structure. tRNAs have two regions of fundamental functional importance: the anti-codon, which is responsible for specific mRNA codon recognition, and the 3' end, to which the tRNAs corresponding amino acid is attached (by aminoacyl-tRNA synthetases). tRNAs cope with the degeneracy of the genetic code in two manners: having more than one tRNA (with a specific anti-codon) for a particular amino acid; and 'wobble' base-pairing, i.e. permitting non-standard base-pairing at the 3rd anti-codon position. The record is from Rfam.